GAAAGCACACGUCAACAACCAGAGUGGGACGAUGGUACCAAGAUAGCCAGCUGCCUGGUCUGAAACACCCUCUUAAAUCAUUGCAUCAGGACUAGAGGGAAGUGCUGCUCCCGCAGAUGGACAGGCUCUGGGGUGCCUGAGCCAAGGCAGAAACACAGGGGCCUGGAACAUCCUCUUGGGGACUGCAGUGUCUUCUCAAAGGAGAACAUGCUGCUGCAUUACUAGCCUUCAUGCAGACAACUAUACUUGGAUGAGAAAAAAGCAAUGUUCGUGUGUGACAGUCUUCUAGGAAUCCUAUAGAGCAAAUGCUUUGGUUCUGGCCUGCCCCUGCAGAGGGCAUCCCUGCAGUCACGCAGAGCUGCUGUGAACCAUCGUGCUCACUAGGACUCAGGGUUCUGAAAAUUCAUCAGGAUGUGAAUGGAAGUUUUGUUUCUACGCAAGAAAUGCUGGCAGCUAGAACAUCUCUUUUCUCUCAGCACAUCAACACUCCGCACCGCAAAUUACUGGCCUAGACCUCCUGCAGAAUCAGCUACCUUAACGCUUUGGCUGCCAGUCUCUGUGGUUCAGGAAUCUUGACAUGGCUUAGAUGGGUCCUCUGCUUCAGGGUCUCUCAGAAGGCUGCAAUCAAGGUGUCAGCCAGAACUGAGGUUUCUUCCAGAGGCUCAACUGGAAAAGUAUCUACUUGCAAGCUCACAUGGUUGUUGACAGGAUCAGAUCCUUACAAGGUAUUGGACCGAGGGCCUCAGUUCUUGACCAGUUGUUGUGCAGAGGAUGCCCUCAAUUUCUUGCCACUUCAGUAUUUCUGACUUGCUUCAUCAAAGCCAGUAAGGGAGAGAGUCAAUAGAAAGAGUCUGCUCACAAGAUGGAAGUCACAAUCUGAUGUUUAUUAUCAUCAGUGUUGUCAUAUUCCAUUGUUUAAAGCAAGUUACUAGGCCUUGCCUGUACUCAAGGGGAGAGGAUUAUACAUGGACGUGAAUACCAGGAGGUGGAUGUCCUUGGGGGUCAUGUCAGAAAUUGCCUUCUACAUUCCCUAAGGUCCACUGUCCAACAGCUUUAUCAAAAAUCAUAAGGGUGAUAUCUGUAUCCCCAUAGGCUUGACUCCAGUGCCCAUUUCUUCAUUGGUUCUGAUAUCAGGAGCUGAAAAAAGAUGCUAUUUAUUGGGCCCCCUCAUGGCACCAAUACCCUCCCUGAGAUUGCUCAACUCACAGUGGGACAGCCUCUCCGUGGCAAGGAAGCCCUGGCUGAUCAUGAAGCCCCUUUCUUGACUAUGCAUUUUCCCAGUGUGAGGCGGGAUCUUGCUGGGGUAACCCUAACCUGUAGCCAGCAUGCACUGCACUUAUGCUCACAGGAACUUGAGAGAAUUUGCCCCACAUCCUCAUCUGGGCCUGUGGUCUCACAUAACCACAUGCUAAGGCCAAAGGUAUACUUGUCAUGCCAGCUCUCAAGAGACAGAAAUACUAAAGACUCAUGUGACUCUGGAGGAAUGUCCCUGAUUGUGCGAUGCCAAAAUUCAAACUGUGUCUCAGUCACAGGAAAGCACUGAGAAGUGUGCCAUGUACUUAUCACCACAAAGGUCCUGUCCACACUGAAGCAAAUCCAAAGGAUAGGCUUCACUGAAUUACACAAGUCCCCCUGUGCUCGGGAAGCAUUCUCAAGUGCCAUGUGUAAGACAGUGACAUUUACACGUUGGGGAAGGGCUCCAGAGCUAAAUUGGAAGCAGCUAAGCAUCACUUGGGACAUUUGUACACCCCGUUCCUCUAAGACAUUGAAAUUAAUAGGCUCUAAUAAAACAAGAGCUAAUUGUUUGUAAAGUGAAAGCUACGUAAGCCCACCACGAGAGCAGAGACUGCGCUAUUAUUCCCUUAUUGCCAGGACCAGUAUAUCGCCAUAUGCGUAGGAUGUUUUAUAGGUAUGUAUUUAGUUGUUUGAUUGACUGCUAAGUGUUUGUUGUUUGGCUAUUAACAAUCUUUCCAGUUCUUCAUUUCACCUAUAUUACAAUACAUGUGAAUGCCAUGUAAGAAUUCUAUACAGACAAGAAGUCAUUCUGUAGUUUUUUUAUUAUUUAAUAAAAAAUCUGUAUCAAGAUUACCAAGAUGAGAACCUCAACCAACAAAGGCUCAAUUGUAUGCAUAGGUCACGGCAGCAUGUGGUGCUGAGUGCUAAGCAUUUUGUGUACAAAUAAGAAAAGAAGGUCUCAAGAGAAAUCUCACGUAGUUUAGAUUAUACCAUGGCUUGGAAAAUGCUAGACCUUUUGGUUAUAUACCUUUAGAAGAUACAGAGCAGUUCUCUAGGAAACUGUGCUACGUUGAAAUUUCAAGAAGCCAUGUCCUGUUUAUAGCAUUGCAUUCAACCUAGAGUUGGACCAUCUUCCAUCUUCUAGAGCAAAGCUGUCCAGUUGUACUUAUCACCUGUCCAUCUUCUAGAGCAAAGUUGUCCAAUUGAUGUUUCUGAGAUUAUGGAAAUGUUCUCUUCUGUGCUACUCAGUACCGCAGCCACUAGCCAUGGGUGGCUAUUGAGCACUUAAAAUGUGGCUAGUGAGAAUAAGGACUGAAUUUUUAAAUUAGAUUGAAUUAAACUUAAAUUACCACAUGUGGCUACUGGCUACUAUAUCAGACAGCACAGUAGUGGAGAUUUGCUACCCAAAGUAUGGUCUGGGCACCAGCAGCUUUGGCAUCACCUACUGCAUUUCUACUAGAAAUGCAGAGUCGCAGAUCUACAUACAGAAUCCACAUUUUAACAAGAUUCCCAGGUGAUUGGCAUACUUCUCAGAAUUUAUGAAAUGCUGCUCUAAAAUAUUUCUUUAUAAGGUUGGCUCUGAUUUUUUUCUUUUUGAACAAAGAAACUACAGAAUAUACUAUUCCUCUAGUCCCCUUCUUAGGGAGAUACCAAGGUAGAGGGGUGGCUCCUUUUAGGUACUACAAGGAGAGAACCUAUAUGAGAAUUGAUCCAAGUAGAACCUGAGUCUGCAGACUGAAAACGAAGUUGCCAUUUUUUGACCAUCUGACUCAAGCCUUACCUGAAGCCAGCCCUACACACUGUUCUCAUUGUACAUUGUACUAGUUGAUAAAUUACUCCUUUUGACUAAGGAGUAGUCGGUUGUAAUUAUAGUCUGUCGUGGUAGUUCAACUAUCUAACUUCUGGGAACAAGUGAGUCCUAAAAGAUAAACCUGUUCACAAAGGAAAAUCCUCAGAGGAAAAAGGAAAAAUUGGCUGAAAAUGCAACUAAUGUGGCAUAAGAAUGUUUUUGUGAAUAUUAAACGUCCCUACUUUCUUUCUUCUCUAUAAUGUAUAGAUUUCUUAAAUAUAUACAUAGAUCAGAAAUAAACAUACAUAACAAGCUUUUUAGUAAACAUUAAAAAAUUAACUGAUGAUCAUCGGUCUCAGUUAUUCCUAUUAAUUUGAUAGGAAUAACAUUAUCUAUCACUUUGAAAAGCCACAAGAUUUCCAAAUGUACAAUUUAACUACUUAGUGCUUCUGUUUUACAGAUUCAGCAGGAAUUUAAUUUUAUUAUGUAAGGAGUGAUAGAAAUUAGGGUGCACACUCUUAACUAUCUUGUCUUAUUAUUAAAAUCUGACUCCUAAAAGGAAAACUUUGAGAACAGAAGAAAUAAGGAAAAAACUUGAGGGAUUCCCUAAAAUGAAGAAACAAAAUUUAAUUAUACUGAAUACAGUCACUGUAUGACAUAUGUUAAUAUGUCUGUGUUGUUUCUUAUUAGUGAAACAAUGUUUGGAUCUGAGUUAGAAUCUAUUUCAUAUAAGAUAUUAGUUGGAGUAAAACAUAUAAGUAGCAAUGAUAAAUCAUUGUCAGGGUUUCUGACAGUGCAUAAUGUAAUACCAGGCAUAGAAUGGCAUUCUAUCUUGAGCCACUUGAACCACUUACACCCCUAAAGGAGAUGCCAGUCACAUGUCCUAAAUCACAAGUUUCUGCCACACCAGAGACUUCCAGCAUACCAUUGCUUUUUGGAGACUUUAUGCAAAAAUGCAAGUGAACAUGGAUUCAUUUUAACAUGGGUCUUUUUUAGAGGAAUCUAAGUGUUCUGUAUCAAAUCAGGAAUGGGAUUUGCAGCCAAUGAAGAUGGGGGAAAAAAAGACAGCUUAUCCCUUACUGCUGGCAAAGCCAAUUAGGCAUAUCUUUGUUUCAUGACAGCUAUAUAAAGAAUUGGGGAGUAGAGAGUGUGGGCAUUUGAUAUGGAUGUGCAAACUAAUUCUUUCUGUUGGCUCUCAUAAACAACUUAGUAGAAUAUCCGGUAGAUGUUUUUUGGCCUCACUUCCCCAAACCAUGUAAGGAAAUGCAAUUUAAUACAUGCAGUGGUUUUCUGUCUCCUACCCAAAAAAAUACAAGAGCUUCUUCAAGUAGAGUAUUUAAGAUGUGUUGAGAUAUCAUUUCUGAUUCAUUGGAUUAUUCAAUAUGAAACCAAAAUCAAACUCACAUUUGUAUUAUGUGCUUGACUUUCUGCAUUUCCGCCCUCUACUAGCAAGACAGAACUGUUCAGUAUACAAAUUCAGCACCAACAUGAAUUUUGUGAUUGCAAUUUUAUGUAUUUUAUUGUGUUUAAAGUUGAACAAUUUAUUUAUUGAUCUGUCUCGUCUACUAGAUGGUGAGUUCUUGGACAACAAGGCUUCAUUUGUGUCUGCUUUGCCAGCACUACCCACCCACUGGGAACUGAACUGUUUGUGAAAUAAAUGUAGCAUUGAUACUUUCAGAGAAGUA
Molecule: non-coding RNA, 4710 nt
Organism: Manis javanica (Malayan pangolin)
Lineage: Eukaryota; Metazoa; Chordata; Mammalia; Pholidota; Manidae
Source: RefSeq, a predicted model, not a curated record